Molecule: small nucleolar RNA, 81 nt
Organism: Elgaria multicarinata webbii
Lineage: Eukaryota; Metazoa; Chordata; Lepidosauria; Squamata; Anguidae
Product: small nucleolar RNA SNORD103/SNORD85
Exons: 1
Source: RefSeq, a predicted model, not a curated record
UCUAGCAGUGAUGAUGCACUUGCCCUCACUGAGGUUCUCUGAUGAGAGCUUUUUGGAAGUACUCAUUUGCUCUGAGCCAGA